AGAGUUCUGUGAUAUAUAGACUAAAAAAUUUUAUAAAUGUUUAGACAAGAAUGAUUUAUUAAAGUAAUACUUUCGAAAAUAAAUGCCGUUAGAUUUUACCAUUGACAGAAAAAUUUCUCUGUCAGAACUAUUAGAAGAUUCGACAAAUUUUCGAAAAACAUUGUAGUGAAAACAGUGUAUCGAAGUCGCAUGACCCAAGUCAUAAAAAAAACGUUUUUCACGUGGAUACCCUUGUCUCUAUGCUUUCUGAUGCUUUGGACAGAUAUAUAUUAUUACCAGCCUGUCAGUAAACCAGAUAAAAGGGGGAUGUAAUGAGUGUUCAAAGACGAUCAUUUCACUCCAGGCAAAAUAUGGUAAAUGUCAUAGAAUGUUUUCUAAGACUGUCCAGCUAUUGCUGGAGGGUUUCACUGUUUGUUGUCUAAUAUUAUAAGUAGUGUUGACACACUUAUUGACCUUCGGUUCGAUGCCUCAGGUAAUUGUAUCACUGUCAAUCUAUGUUGAAAAGAAUGUUUUUCAUCUUUCAUCCCUACAGAUAUAAUAUCUGCAGGGUCUCAAUAAAGAGAGAGAGAGAGAGAGAGAGAGAAGCUGAUUUUUUUUUAUAUAUAUUCUUGCUUGCUAUAGCCCCCAGCUGUCUCUGUUAGGAAAUAUUUCAUUUCCUUCCUUAGCUUCAAUAUGUACACGUCUUUCGUCGUUCUUCUAAAAGAGGAGACGUCAGAUGACAUGUCUCCACUCUUUGCCUGCUGGAUCACCAGGGCAUGAACGAAGACCCGCUACCAUCGUUGCCAUGGUUACACAGGGUGUGUAAAAGGGGAAGAGCCGAUGGGGAAAAGGAUUUUCUCAAGCGAUGGCUACGAAUAAUGUCGUUUGCAGUCUUGCUCCGAUCGAUCGUAGUUGUUGACUUACUCCUAUGUUCUGUUUAUUUAACCCGAGUUAAAAUGGUAAAGACCAUCAGUAGGAGAUGUUCAAUAGGUCCGCAGACCAUGUUUUUAGUUUUAUUACGGAAAUAUUUUCCUUGAAUGUAGGAUAAUUAACAAAGUGUUUAAAAGUUUGUUUCGAGCUAGGGAACGACAGGAUAUCCUGUAACCGAGAAAGAUCGAAUUCUUUAUAAAGGGAUUUUAGAAUUACAAUAGAAAUGAACUUUGUUAUGUGCUAGUUCCGAGAUAACAAAGAGAUAAUCUACAUCUUUUACGAGUAAAAUUCUUUCCUUAAUUUUCUAUCGAAAAUUAGAAAAAAAAAAAAAAGAACAGGU
RNAcentral lists this long non-coding RNA (1249 nucleotides) under Androctonus crassicauda. Lineage: Eukaryota; Metazoa; Arthropoda; Arachnida; Scorpiones; Buthidae. The record is from RNAcentral.